GUCAGUGUGGCAUAGUGGUUUGAGUGUUGGCCUACAACUCUGGAGAUCAGGGUUGGAUUCCCAGCUCAGCCA
This 72-nucleotide transfer RNA is filed under the name Phrynosoma platyrhinos (Desert horned lizard). RNAcentral's name for it is "tRNA-OTHER". Lineage: Eukaryota; Metazoa; Chordata; Lepidosauria; Squamata; Phrynosomatidae. The record is from RNAcentral.